GACGAACGCUGGCGGCGUGCUUAACACAUGCAAGUCGAACGGAAAGGCCCUGCUUUUGUGGGGUGCUCGAGUGGCGAACGGGUGUGUAACACGUGAGUAAACUGCCCUUGACUUUGGGAUAAAUUCAGGAAACAGGGGUGAUAACCGGACAGAACAUCCUGCUGCAUGAGGGGGGAGGGAAAGUUAUGGCGGUUGGGGAUGGACGCGAGGUCCAGCAGCAUGUUGGGGAGGUGGUGUCUUACCAAGGCUUGGAGGGGUAGCCGGCCUGAGAGGGUGAGAGGCCACAUUGGGACUGGGAUGGGGCCCAGACUGCUACGUGGGGCAGCAGUGGGGAAUAUGGCACGAUGGGCGGAAGCCUGAUGGAGCAACGCCGCGUGGGGGAUGACGGCCUUCAGGUUGUAAACCGCGUUCGCGUGUGACGAAGCGUGAGUGACGGUAAUGGGUAAAGAAGCACCGGCUAACUACGUG
RNAcentral lists this ribosomal RNA (468 nucleotides) under uncultured bacterium. RNAcentral describes it as "partial 16S ribosomal RNA". It matches the Rfam family "Bacterial small subunit ribosomal RNA", at positions 28 to 507 of the family's 1533-position model. The record is from RNAcentral.